This is a long non-coding RNA of Dama dama (fallow deer), 1445 nucleotides long. RefSeq lists it as uncharacterized. The record is from RefSeq and is a predicted model, not a curated record. The transcript is spliced from 4 exons. NCBI's taxonomy places the organism in Eukaryota, Metazoa, Chordata, Mammalia, Artiodactyla, Cervidae.
CUUUUCUGCAGGAAGGAGAAGGGAGUUGCCACCGACAUCGGAUACCGGAAAGCAGGCUCCUUGUGUUGCGUAAGCUCUUUCGACCUCGUCUGGAAAACGAGCUUGAUAGCUCACGGAAAAGUCGUGAGGAUAGAUACGGAAGGGAGAAAUCCACACCCAGAAUGAAGUUUAAGAAAAAACUCAAGUAUAUGAGCACUUUGAAAGCAGAACACCGUUGUUUUCAUGAUUCGAUCAUUCAGAAAUUAUGAAGGCACAGUUCUUGGCUUUGAUUGACUUAUAGUCAAGUGGAGUAGACAUAGGUCAUAGUGGCAGUAUAGCCACUUAAGUAUUCUGAAGGAGGUGAGUGUGUGGCACUUAACUCAGCCUGAGAGAGGAAAAAUUAGUCAGUACUUCUAAGAAGCGACUUUUAUACAGGUGGACAAGGAUCGGGGAGGGUCAUUCCAGAUUUCCAGGAAUCUGUGGCUGAAUUCUAAAUUGUACAGAAGACACUGCCAGGUGUUUUUCCCGGAGCAUUAGCCUUAUUUUUGGAUCAUGCUUCUCUUGCUUCUCUUGUUUUCCUUCUCUCGCUGCUAUCCCCCCCCCCCCCGUAACUGGAUGGGUAUUUGGGAUAUGAAAGGAAGUCAGAGGGUAGUAAAUCUUUCUGAGUGGCAGAAUAAUAGGAUGGUUUUACCAAGAAGUAAUGUAUGUACUCAGUAAGUCCAUUUGUAAAAACUAAGUUCCUGCGCUUUGUUUAAAUGCAUAGCUAGGAAACCUCAAUUUGUUGGAUUCUUUCCCAGUGAGUGGAUUAUAUUCUUGUCUCCAGUUCAGUCUUUUUUUUUUUUCCAGUCUUUUUGAAUAUAAGGACAUUUAAGGUGCUUUCAAAGAGAGAUCCCCACAUUUAAGCUUAGGAAUGAGCACAGGGGAGACAGCAAGAUUAGAAUCCAAGUUCAUACUACAAAAACAUUUUUGUUGGCUCUGUCUGGGUGACUGCAUGUUGUUUUAAUCAGUUGCAAGCUGUUAAAUUGAAUUUGCAUAGCUCACAUAAAUGACAGUUUAAUUCCACCAGGAUUUGAGUGAGGUGGAAAUAGAGCAGAAAAACCUGAAUCUGUCAAACUGGGGAAAAUGAAGAAAAGGCAAUCAAUUAAUUUAUCAGCAGGUUGCAGGUGAACAUGGCCUUGAGGUAAAUCCUGCCCCUUGUUGAAAUGUAGUUUCAGUAGAUAGUUCUUGGCAUUUUAAGGAAUUAGAAUAUUUUACAAAAAAACAAACGUUUUGUUUUGGUUCUUUUCUAGACUUUUUUUUUUCCUUGUAGAAGAUGAGAAACAUGUUAAAGGUUCUUUAUGCUGAGUAAUUGUGAUGCUUGAAGUUGGUCAUCUGCCUUGUUUAAAUUAAGUGGAUUUUAAAUGUCAAAGCUAAUUGUAGACCAUUUUUUCUUGAUUAAAAUCUUAUUAAAACCUUAUACGUGCCUA